RNAcentral lists this long non-coding RNA (1115 nucleotides) under Equus caballus (horse). Its description in RNAcentral is "lncRNA (ENSECAG00000058190.1)". The record is from RNAcentral. Lineage: Eukaryota; Metazoa; Chordata; Mammalia; Perissodactyla; Equidae.
ACGUCAUGUCCCUCGUGAGCAGGGGGCCCUGGAAGGACGCCUUGGAGCAGCUGAUGGGGCCAGGGAAGUUGAGAAGGUGAGCAACAGGGUCCCUCCUCCAAUCAAAACACUACAAGUCUGUCUGCUGAGAUGUGGAGAAGGCUUCAAGACUUCCCUGCAGAGCUAGGUACCUGCUAAGGAGGGGCCAGACCCCAAGCCUCGCCCGGGCCGGCCGGUGCUGCGCCACCCAGCGAUGGAGCCAACGGGUGGUGGAUUUGGAAGUUGUAGGAAAAGUUGGACUGAACACAGCUGCCCCGGCCCUCCCCAACCCCUCCGCCUCCAGCUUGAGGCAGUGUGGAGAUCUUCUCUGCGGAAGAAAAGGGAGGCCACGCCCAUUCCUGGACACCUCCCCUUCCAGUCCUGCCCCUCGCGCCCCCCAGCCUCCCAGGCCUGCGCGCACCAGCCAUCAGCAUCGAAAGCACAUCUCUGGGUGGCCCUUCGUUGUGGGAAGACAAAACCAGGUUUUCAGGCACAUCUCUUCUCCCUUUCAUUUUGGGGAUGCAGUCUCUGAAGAAACCGGAAAGAUUAGAUUGGCAUUAAGCAUUUUCUCUGCAAGCUCUGGAGGGUGGCAUAGUCAGGUUCACGCUUAGGUCCUUCUGAGCAUCUCACUCCCGGCGUCAAGACUUCAAGAGCACUGCAGCAGGCACUUGCCUACCUUGGCACUGAAGUUCAUGGUAUAUGAUUGCUGCCAGGAGCAAAGGCAUGUGGGUAAACUUGCCUUGCCAUCUGCCAAAGCUCUCCAGGGAACCCUCACUUCAGCAGAAGCCAUGUGACUCUGGAAAAUCCAUUCACCCUUUCAAAGAGAUAUUUUUGAGAACGCCUUUCAAUGACCUCAUCAGCAAAAAGGAGGGUUGGCAAGAAUUGCUGCAAUAGUUAUUUCUCAAGCCUUCUAGCAUUUACCAUGUUCAGUCUCCAACUGUUCUCUGCAGGAAUACAGCUUAGUUUAAUGAAAAAAGAAUGUUAGAAUGACAUAAUGGUGUUUAAAUAUUGAUACUUACCACAAGACUUUGAAUAAAUUCCUUAACCUUUCUAUACUUCUUCAUCUGUAAAAUGGGCAUAAUAAUACCCACUUUGCA